UAAAAUAUAGAAAAUGUUUUACAUUUAUAAAAAAGAAGUUUCUUUGAUGUUCUUCUAGACAGAAAUGGACAAAUUUUAAUUUAUAUUAAAAGAUAAAUUCUUUGUACCUUUUGUAUCAGGGGAAUAGGAAAAAGUAAUAAAUAUUAUUUUCCCGAAAAAAGUUGAUUUUGGAUUAUUAUUUAGGUUUGUGUUACAUUAUUAUCUGAAAUAAAAUCUAGGAAGUGAAAAAUUAAUCGAAACUUUUGAUAUCUGGUUUUCUGGACAGUCUUACAGAGAUAGGUGGUGACAUUCAGCCAUUUAUUUACCAUGGGAUAAGCCUUGGUAUAAGGGGAAUUUCUGGUUAUAAACAUUUAUGUUUUUAAUUUUUAAUUUAUUUAUUUAAUCCCUUUUUGUCAGAAAAUACCCAAAAAUGUUUUUUGGGUACAUAAAAUCUAUUUAUUAGUAAAAUUGUGUGAUUCUUUUUAAGGAAUUCGGCAAAUUGAGCUUCUGCAUGUUUAAUAAAAACAUCUCCUCUUGAAAAUUUAGGAGGUAGUCUCUGCUCAAUGCUUUAUAGUUAAUAGCUGCGGAAAUUUAACCGUACUAAGGUAGCAUAAUAAUUUGGCUUUUAAUUGAAGUCUAGAAUGAAAGAGUUGACAAGAGGCUUUCUGUCUCUGAAAGAACGCUUUGAAAUUUAGGGUUUAGUCAAAACGCUAAAAAAUUUCAGAAGGACGAGAAGACCCUGUAGAUUUUUACACUUUAAGAAUUAACUGAUUCCGUACAGUGGUUACUUGGGACGAGUGGCUUAUAAAACAAGCUUUAAUCACUUAAAGCCCGCAGGCUUCUGUGAUCCGUUUUCACGAAACAGGAUUCAAUUACCUCAGGGAUAACAGCGUUAUUCUCUUCCUUAGACCUUAUGGGGAAGGGAGUUUACGACCUCGAUGUUGAAUUAAGCUGUCUCUUUAUAGAAGAAUAUAACAGAGUUAGACUGUUCGUCUAUUAAAAGCUUACAUGAUUUGAGUUUAGACCGACGUGAGUCAGGUCAGAUUCUAUCCUCUGAAACCCAAAACUAACUCAAGUACGAAAGGA
RNAcentral lists this ribosomal RNA (1065 nucleotides) under Pedicinus obtusus. RNAcentral's name for it is "large subunit ribosomal RNA". It matches the Rfam family "Bacterial large subunit ribosomal RNA", at positions 542 to 2691 of the family's 2925-position model. The record is from RNAcentral. Lineage: Eukaryota; Metazoa; Arthropoda; Insecta; Psocodea; Pedicinidae.